CACCUACGGGAGGCUGCAGUGGGGAAUUUUGGACAAUGGGCGCAAGCCUGAUCCAGCAAUGCCGCGUGCAGGAUGAAGGCCUUCGGGUUGUAAACUGCUUUUGUACGGAACGAAAAGGUUCUCUCUAAUACAGGGGGCAUAUGACGGUACCGUAAGAAUAAGCACCGGCUAACUACGUGCCAGCAGCCGCGGUAAUACGUAGGGUGCGAGCGUUAAUCGGAAUUACUGGGCGUAAAGCGUGCGCAGGCGGUUUUGUAAGACAGAGGUGAAAUCCCCGGGCUCAACCUGGGAACUGCCUUUGUGACUGCAAGGCUGGAGUGCGGCAGAGGGGGAUGGAAUUCCGCGUGUAGCAGUGAAAUGCGUAGAUAUGCGGAGGAACACCGAUGGCGAAGGCAAUCCCCUGGGCCUGCACUGACGCUCAUGCACGAAAGCGUGGGGAGCAAACAGGAUUAGAUACCCUGGUAGUCCACGCCCUAAACGAUGUCAACUGGUUGUUGGGGGUUAAUUCACUCAGUAACGAAGCUAACGCG
This 530-nucleotide ribosomal RNA is filed under the name uncultured bacterium. RNAcentral's name for it is "bacterial SSU rRNA". It matches the Rfam family "Bacterial small subunit ribosomal RNA", at positions 335 to 859 of the family's 1533-position model. The record is from RNAcentral.